This 1562-nucleotide long non-coding RNA is filed under the name Cricetulus griseus (Chinese hamster). RNAcentral's name for it is "lncRNA (ENSCGRG00015043305.1)". Lineage: Eukaryota; Metazoa; Chordata; Mammalia; Rodentia; Cricetidae. The record is from RNAcentral.
GAAAUGGAUGCCAGGGGAUGUUUAGGGCCUGCCUCCUUUGCCUCCCCCGUUUCUCCUUAGCAUGGGGGGGAGGGGUUGCUUUGAAACCCGGAAGCACUUCAUGGCCCGCCGGAACACACCGCGGGUCACGUGGGGGCGGUGCCUGGCCGGCGCGUGACCCGGCGUCCGUUCCGCAGGUCUCCGGCCCGGGGUCACCCAGCAUGCUGCGUGCACGUGGCAGCUGAUGUCCUAAAUAGGAGCGAGCGGUCGUGGGCUGCUCUCCUGGGAGGGUGGAGCUGAGCUGCCAGCACAGAGCAACCCGCCCAAGGCCGGAGCUGACCAGCAGCACACUGAGAGCAACUGCGCUACGCCGGGGGCAAAGAACGGAGGCUGUGUACGCCACAGGGCUGUCUGUCUGUCUCUUCCUUUGCAGACCCAGGACUGGGAGACCGGGCAGAGACACAGUGAUUUCAGGCUGCAGAUGUUCAAGUCCGGGUUACUGGCUCCACUACUGCUUUAAGAGCUUGAGGUGGGAUCGCCCUGGGUUCCUUACACAUCUGCUGUUCCUUAAAUAAGUUUCCACACAAUCACAAGGCCGGAGAAGUUGGCCCAUAAUAACUGGACUGGCCCACGUGGCAUGAACAAUUGACAGGCAUCACCAAUUGUUCUCUGCCUCUUAAGAACCACUGACCUGAUAGCGAAGUCUAAGUCUAAGAAACCCAGACCUCAGUCCAAUUUUAUAUGGCAGCACUUACGGAGCCUGUCCUUCAGCUUAAAAGAAGUGGCAAAAGGUUACACGUUGGAGUAUUUUUAAUUUUCCUCUUUAAAAGAAAAAUGUGUGUGUGUACGUGUGGCCUGAGGAGAGGUAGAAGGGGUAGGGGAUGGAUUAAGAGUGUUUGGUACCAGAAUUCAGUUUCCAACACCCAUGUCAGACAGUUCACAACUGUCUGUAAUAUUAGUUCCAAUAGACUUGAUGACUGUUCUGCCCUCUGUGGACACUCAGGUACUCGUAGUACAUAGACACAUAAAAUUAUGUCCUGUGUAGGCACUGUGCCGGGUACUGUCAUUCCCUAGCCUGUUUCCAAUUAGUGUUUUAAGAUCCUUGGGGACGCCCCCCCCCCAAUAGGGUUUCUCUGUAUUGCUUUGGAGGUUGUCCUGGAACUUGCUCUGUAGAUCAGGCUGGUCUCAAACUCACAGAGAUCCGCCUGCCUCUGCCUCCUGAGUGCUGGGAUUAAAGGCAUGAGCCAUCAAUGCCCUGCGAGUUUCAUGUAUUCCUUGUUAUCCUGAACUCACUAUAUAGCAAGGGAUGAACUUGAACUUCUGAUGCUUCUCUUACUGGGAUUUCAGGUGUGCGGCAACACCCUUGACGUGUUUUGGUGCUGAGCUCCUGAGACAGCUCUUCUGUUGAGGCUGCCUCUUCCCAGGUGAUUCUAAAUUGAUAAAACUGACCAGGCUACAUAUACAACUGUGCACUACAUAUUUAUGUCAAGCAGUAUACUCAGUGUUAACAAUUAUGAAAUCAAAAUAUUAUGGAAAAAUAUUGAAGAGGGUCUACAUUGUAAACUAUCAAAUAUCCAGCCAAG